GUAGCCCAGCCUAUGGAAUGAUGUGGCUUACAUUCAAGAAAGCCAUAAAACAUUUAGUGUUUGCUCUGGAUACUCACUGGUUUUCAAGCACACACAGCAUGCUUUUGAGUGAUAUCAUGGAAUGUCUUCGCAUCAGACAAGU
Molecule: long non-coding RNA, 142 nt
Organism: Psammomys obesus (fat sand rat)
Lineage: Eukaryota; Metazoa; Chordata; Mammalia; Rodentia; Muridae
Exons: 3
Source: RefSeq, a predicted model, not a curated record